This 411-nucleotide long non-coding RNA is filed under the name Citrus maxima (pomelo). RNAcentral describes it as "long non-coding RNA (CMAX_LNC004385)". The record is from RNAcentral. Lineage: Eukaryota; Viridiplantae; Streptophyta; Magnoliopsida; Sapindales; Rutaceae.
GCUUUCCCAUUUCGAUUUAGAAUGGAUCUUUGAAAAUUCAAUUCGAGGGGGGGGCGUCAGACUUUUCUACGAAACUCGCUUAAAUAUGAAAGUGAAUGAAAGAGGAAGAGGGGGCAUACGCAAAAACGCCCAUCCAACGUUUUUUUAAUUCAAACUCUUGUGAUCGAUGUUCCCCGCUUGCGGGGACCACAAAUGCAUUCAGUUCCAUUUUCGUAUUAUUUGAAUUCGAUUCAAUUUGUGAAAAAAGAUCUGGUUGAGAAAAUAAUUUUUUUAAUUCGAAAAAAAAAAAAAAAAGAAAAAGACGUACACGUAUAUUUUAUCAAUAUAUACUUAAGAGGGUUGCUCAAACGGGAAUUGAAAAUUUUUAUUCUGCCCGGUCUGGGACGGAAGGAUUCGAACCUCCGAAUACCG